AGAGUUUNNUCCUGGCUCAGAACGAACGCUGGCGGCAUGCCUAACACAUGCAAGUCGAACGAGUACCUUCGGGAUCAUAGUGGCGCACGGGUGCNGUAACGCGUGGGAAUCUGCCCAGAGGUUCGGAAUAACACAGAGAAAUUUGUGCUAAUACCGGAUGAUGUCGCAAGACCAAAGAUUUAUCGCCUUUGGAGGAGCCCGCGUAGGAUUAGCUAGUUGGUGGGGUAAAGGCCUACCAAGGCGACGAUCCUUAGCUGGUCUGAGAGGAUGAUCAGCCACACUGGGACUGAGACACGGCCCAGACUCCUACGGGAGGCAGCAGUGGGGAAUAUUGGACAAUGGGCGAAAGCCUGAUCCAGCAAUGCCGCGUGAGUGAAGAAGGCCUUCGGGUUGUAAAGCUCUUUUACCCGGGAAGAUAAUGACUGUACCGGGAGAAUAAGCCCCGGCUAACUCCGUGCCAGCAGCCNNGGUAAUAC
This 476-nucleotide ribosomal RNA is filed under the name Sandaracinobacter sibiricus. RNAcentral describes it as "bacterial SSU rRNA". It matches the Rfam family "Bacterial small subunit ribosomal RNA", at positions 8 to 526 of the family's 1533-position model. The record is from RNAcentral. Lineage: Bacteria; Pseudomonadati; Pseudomonadota; Alphaproteobacteria; Sphingomonadales; Sphingosinicellaceae.